RNAcentral lists this ribosomal RNA (267 nucleotides) under uncultured prokaryote. RNAcentral describes it as "partial 16S ribosomal RNA". It matches the Rfam family "Bacterial small subunit ribosomal RNA", at positions 526 to 792 of the family's 1533-position model. The record is from RNAcentral.
CGUAGGGUUCGAGCGUUGUCCGGAUUUAUUGGGCGUAAAGAGCUUGUAGGCGGUUUGUCGCGUCGGGAGUGAAAACUCAGUGCUUAACACUGAGCCUGCUUCCGAUACGGGCAGACUUGAGGAAGGUAGGGGAGAUUGGAAUUCCUGGUGAAGCGGUGGAAUGCGUAGAUAUCAGGAGGAACACCAGUGGCGAAGGCGGAUCUCUGGACCUUUCCUGACGCUGAGAAGCGAAAGCGUGGGGAGCAAAUAGGCUUAGAUACCCUGGUA